GUGCUCACUUCAGCAGCACACAUACUAAAAUUAGAGCAGUACAGAGAUUAGCAUGGCCUCUGCAAGAAUGACAUGCAAAUUCAUGAAACUUUCCAUGUUUUU
Molecule: small nuclear RNA, 102 nt
Organism: Cavia aperea (Brazilian guinea pig)
Lineage: Eukaryota; Metazoa; Chordata; Mammalia; Rodentia; Caviidae
Source: Ensembl